Molecule: long non-coding RNA, 268 nt
Organism: Drosophila sulfurigaster albostrigata
Lineage: Eukaryota; Metazoa; Arthropoda; Insecta; Diptera; Drosophilidae
Exons: 3
Source: RefSeq, a predicted model, not a curated record
CAGAUCUAAGAACUUAAUGAAUAAAACGUUUAAGGCCGUUGAAAACGCUGUAUGACCAGAAUUCAUUUGAUUUUAUAUUAUUUAUUUGAACUAUGGACUUUACAACGGCGAAGACGAGUGUUAUGUUAUGAGUAUCUGUUAUAUUGAAUAAAAAUUAUUUGCAAACGUUUGUGUAAUGGCAAUAGAAGGCCCUCUCUUUGUCUUCUAUCAAACUAAGAAACAUGUUCCGAAUGAAGUCACGGGCUGCUUCUGAAUCGCCCUUCGGUCC